RNAcentral lists this ribosomal RNA (253 nucleotides) under uncultured bacterium. RNAcentral describes it as "partial 16S ribosomal RNA". It matches the Rfam family "Bacterial small subunit ribosomal RNA", at positions 524 to 776 of the family's 1533-position model. The record is from RNAcentral.
UACGGAGGAUCCGAGCGUUAUCCGGAUUUAUUGGGUUUAAAGGGUGCGUAGGCGGCCUAUUAAGUCAGGGGUGAAAGACGGUAGCUUAACUAUCGCAGUGCCUUUGAUACUGAUGGGCUUGAAUGUACUUGAGGUAGGCGGAAUGUGACAAGUAGCGGUGAAAUGCAUAGAUAUGUCACAGAACACCAAUUGCGAAGGCAGCUUACUAAAGUAUGAUUGACGCUGAGGCACGAAAGCGUGGGGAUCAAACAGG